RNAcentral lists this ribosomal RNA (904 nucleotides) under uncultured archaeon. Its description in RNAcentral is "bacterial SSU rRNA". It matches the Rfam family "Archaeal small subunit ribosomal RNA", at positions 21 to 903 of the family's 1478-position model. The record is from RNAcentral.
CCCUACUGCUAUCGGGGUGGGACUAAGACAUGCUAGUCGAGCGCCUUGAGCUAUGGCGAGGCGCGGCGUACAGCUCAGUAACACGUGGCUAACCUACCCUUAGGACGGAGACAACCCCGGGAAACUGGGGCUAAUAUCUGAUAGGUGAGGAGGCUUGGAAUGGUUCUUCGCUGAAAAGGCGUUGAAACCAUGCUUUUCAGCGUCGCCUAAGGAUGGGGCCGCGUCCGAUCAGGUUGUUGGUGGGGUAACGGCUCACCAAGCCUAUAACCGGUACGGGCCGUGAGAGCGGGAGCCCGGAGAUGGGCACUGAGACAAGGGCCCAGGCCCUACGGGGCGCAGCAGUCGCGAAAACUCCGCAAUGCGCGAAAGCGUGACGGGGCUACCCCGAGUGCCGUCCGCUGAGGAUGGCUUUUCCCCGGUGUAAUGAGCCGGGGGAAUAAGGAGAGGGCAAGUCUGGUGUCAGCCGCCGCGGUAAUACCAGCUCUCCGAGUGGUAGGGACGAUUAUUGGGCUUAAAGCGUCCGUAGCCGGCUUAGCAAGUCUUCUGUUAAAUUCAGCGACCUAAUCGUUGAGCCGCGGGAGAUACUACUAGGCUAGGAGGCGGGAGAGGCCGACGGUAUUCUCGGGGUAGGGGUGAAAUCCUAUAAUCCCGGGAGGACCACCAGUGGCGAAGGCUGUCGGCUAGAACGCGCUCGACGGUGAGGGACGAAAGCUGGGGGAGCGAACCGGAUUAGAUACCCGGGUAGUCCCAGCUGUAAACGAUGCGGGCUAGGUGUUGGGGUGGCUACGAGCCACUUCAGUGCCGCAGGGAAGCCAUUAAGCCCGCCGCCUGGGGAGUACGGCCGCAAGGCUGAAACUUAAAGGAAUUGGCGGGGGAGCACCACAAGGCGUGAAGCUUGCGGUUC